UGAAAUCUGGCUUCGGCCCGAGUUGUAAUUUGUAGAGGAUGCUUUUGGUGAGGUGCCUUCUGAGUUCCCUGGAACGGGACGCCAGAGAGGGUGAGAGCCCCGUAUAGUUGGACACCGAGCCUCUGUAAAGCUCCUUCGACGAGUCGAGUAGUUUGGGAAUGCUGCUCAAAAUGGGAGGUAUAUCUCUUCUAAAGCUAAAUACUGGCCAGAGACCGAUAGCGCACAAGUAGAGUGAUCGAAAGAUGAAAAGCACUUUGAAAAGAGGGUUAAAUAGUACGUGAAAUUGUUGAAAGGGAAGCGCUUGUGACCAGACUUGUGCCCGGCUGAUCAUCCAGUGUUCUCACUGGUGCACUCUGCCGGGCUCAGGCCAGCGUCGGUUCUCGCAGGGGGACAAAAGCUUCGGGAACGUAGCUCCUCCGGGAGUGUUAUAGCCCGUUGCUCAAUACCCCUGCGGGGACCGA
RNAcentral lists this ribosomal RNA (461 nucleotides) under Sordariomycetes sp. genotype 9. Its description in RNAcentral is "eukaryotic LSU rRNA". It matches the Rfam family "Eukaryotic large subunit ribosomal RNA", at positions 116 to 589 of the family's 3401-position model. The record is from RNAcentral. Lineage: Eukaryota; Fungi; Ascomycota; Sordariomycetes.